CCUCAUUUAAGGGCUGGCAGUAGAGACAAUAGUAUCUUGUUGGAGGUUCCUGUGUACCUGAGCUCUUUGAAGGGGUUUUGAGGAGAGCUGACAAGCAAAUGAACAAAUGUAUGGGUAGACAAACAGCACUACUGCAGUCCAAACAAUCCAACUCAACUGGGGAUGAUGUAACAUGUGCUCAUUAAUGGCAAUGACCUGCCAUGGGGCAGCAACUCCUGUAGUUUUCUUUGGCAUAAACUCAAACUGAACUCUGGAAAGAGGAUGAAGCUCUGCUGGUCCAGGGGUGAAGGAAAUAUACCUCAGUGAAGCUGGAGGUGAUAUUGUUCUUAGCUGCAGCAGGCGUGUAGUGAUGGAGGAUCUGUGUCACAGAGUGAAACUUCUGCAGAAGGAGGCCUGGAGUGCAUAUAGCAUCAGAGACAAUAAAAAGAUCUUUGGCCUCAUGAGAAGGAUAUGAAUUACGUGAUAUCUGCUGGGGGGACACCAUAACAGGGCACAAGAAAUCCAGGAGCUUACUGGAGUAUGUUAACUUCCUGACACAGGCAACUGAAGACCUCAUGAGAAAAGAUGAGGCUGAUAUUUACAAACAGUGUAUCCACUCAUGAUUCACUCUGAGCACAGUGCUCAAACAGGAUUGUGAGGACAAGUGCUGCUCCUCCAUUCAAGAGGGACAAGAAGACUGUGGGCUGAUCAACCUCACCUCAAAUGCUGGGAAGGUGGUGGAACAAAUAAUUCUGGAAAACACUUCCAAACUUAUGAAGGGAAAGAUGGCUCUUCUUACAAGUAGUCAGCAUGGGUCUGUGAAGAUGAAAAUCAUGAGUGACCAAGCUGAUAGCCUACAUUUGAAAUGGCUAUGUUGUUUGAUAAAGGGAGAGCACGUACACUUAUCUAGUUUUGAGCAAGGCUUUCAGCUCUUUCUCCUGUAACAUUGUCAUAGUGAAAAUGAUAAAGUAGGGGCUAGGAAGAUAGAGCAAGGUAGACAGAAAACUAACUGAAUGAACUACUGCCAUCAAAAUGUUAUGAUCAGAUGCAUAAAGUCUAGUUGGAGUGCAGUCAUUAGUGGUGGGAUACCUCAGGCCCUCAUACUAGGGUCAGUACUCUAACGUCUUUGUUAAUUACCUGGAUAAAGGAGCUACAUGUACCCUCAGCAAGCCUGUGAACAAUAGGAAAGAGUGGUUGAUACACCAGAUGGUCUACUGUCAUUCGGGGGUACCUUGACAUACUAAAGAAAUGGGCUAACAUGAAUGUCAUUAAGUUCAACAGGGAAAAACAAAGUCCUGCACCUGGGGAAGAAUGUACCACAUGCACCAGUAUAUACUGGGACCUACUCAGCUGUAAAUCAACUUUACAGAAAAGAACUGCUAUACUGGAAGGACAGGAAGUUCAAUGGAAGCCAGUAAUGCACCCUUGUGGCAAAGAAGGCCAGUAGCCUCCCUGGCUGUGUUAGAGUGCUGCCGUUAUGUCAAGAAGUGAUCUUUCCCUUUUAUUCAGAGCUGGGCAGACUCAUUUGGAAUGCUGGGUCCAUUUCUGGAUUCUCCAGUGCUGAAGAGAUAUGGACAUACUGGAAUGAAUACAUAGAGAGGCCAUGAUGAUGAAGUGACUAGAGCAUCCCUCAUUUAAGAGGAGACUGAGAGAGUUGGAACUGUUCAGCCUGGAGGAAAGACUCAGAGGGAUUCUAUACGUGUGUGUGCAUAUACACGAUGGGGAUAGAGUAAAGAAAAUAGAGCCAGACUGUUUUUUCAGUGAUGUUCAGCAAAGUGACAUGAGGCAAUCAACACAAAAAUAGAAGAAAUGCCUUUUAAGCAUAAGAAAAACAUCUUUCACUGGGGUCCAAGUAGAUAAACACUAGAGCAGGCUUCCUGUAAAGGUUGUAGAGUUAUCUGAAUGUAUAUUGAAAUACAGAUGCACAGUUCUGAGCAACUCUCUCUAGUUAACCUAGAGUAUGGGGAUCAUACUAGACAAUCUUCAGAGGCCCUUUCCAACCUCAGUGAUUUUUUUUCUUUUUUUUUUUCCUUAGACAUAGUGGAAGAUUGUGAAGACACUUCAAAAUAAGACUAAUUAGCCAGUGGGGAGAGAGAUCAUAUUAUGAUCUUCUGGUACCUAGCCUAGUUCUUUAAGAGCUAUCUGAUGUACAUGUAAGUCCCUUCCAACCUAAGCCAUUCUAUGUGUAUUGCUGUGCAAGCAUAUUAACGCAUGAAAAGCAUUGGUUUUGCAUCCAGAUGGGGCUUAGAGAAAGCUUAGCAAGGUAGUUCUUGCUGUGGAAAGAUGUAGGUUUCAAGAAACCCAUUUGAAUACUGAACAAGAAAGAACCUAGGGGAUUUAGGUACCACUACAAUUUGGUGUAAAUCAAGGCUUUUGGGAAGAGUUUUUUCUUUUUUUUUUUUUUUGUCUGAAGCUUCUGAAUUUUCUAUCAAUCUGCACUUUAUGUUUCCAGGUUGCUUGUUGUUUUCCAUCUUCAGACCUAACCAUGCACAACCAAGAUAUGAGUGAAAAUGUCCAUAGCCAUCUCCAAAUGAGUAAAGGAAAAGUGAUUUUUUUUUUAACAGUCUUUCUACACAUUCCUACCUUUGAGCCACAUCAUGAACGGUUCUCUGUGCCAGCAGCUCUGCGUUCUUAAUUUGAAUAUGUAUGUAAAAUGGAUGACCCCCACCUUCCCACAGCUGUGCAACCAUUAUAACCUUAUAACUUCAAAUAAUGUUUUACAGCUGGGGUACAGGGCUGAAAUAAUACAUGUGGUUACUUCUUUCUGUAUGGUAUCUUUCAUUUACAGUAUGUGUCUGCUGUUCCUCAGUAGGGCAAAUAUUGACAUACGCUGUUUUGCUCCCCUUUAGCUCUUACACUUCCCUUUAACCAGAUGUAACAAACUCUUUUCUAAGCUAUUCUAUCUCUACUGCUAUAUAUGUUGACACCAAUAGACUUGUGAGUGAGUAGGCCUGUCAGCAGUGGAAACUUUUCUCCUCCAUUGCAAUUGGAAUAAGGACAUCUUUAUAUGGUUUUGUGUCCUACAACCCAAUAAUACAGUGCAGACCUCAGUGUCUGACUGCAAAAUACCAGUCUGUAAUUCCUCUAAUAAACUCAAACAAUGAAAAUCCUUGACUGUAAGAAAAUGGUGUGUCCUUUGUUCCUAGGAUUCUGCAGGUUAGAGAGCAAAAUUGCUAUCCUCCUUCAUUUCUUAAAGUUAGAUUUGUUCCUUAUACCUACCAGUAUGGCCAGAUUCAUUUAAACUACAGCUAGCAUGAUAAUACAUUGUUAUUUUAUAACUGAAAAUUUACUUGCCGUUUUAAAUAUUUUAUUUCUUUAAAAGAAGAAUAUGAACCCUCUGGAACAAAACGUGCUCAGGAUGGCUUUCAGCUGCUGUAUUCUUAGCUAAAUCCAAGACCUUUGGAAGUGCAGGUUAACAACCCUGUGUUCCAGGCUCAUGGUCCUACAUGCGCAGAGUUGUGACUACCACCAAAACUCCAGAGUGAAUGAAAAGGCUCCUGUCAGUGAGUUCCUUCUCAGCCAUCACUAGGUGAACACUACACACAGGACCUUUCCUGUCCUAGUCUGAAGAGUCCAGUGCCUUCACUGGAUCCAGCCUUAGGUGACCAUCUGCAUUUUCAGGCCUUUGGUUCCUGCUGUUCACAGAAAGCUGCAGAUGGCUGCCUCAGCAGGAAGCCCUUCCCCCUUCCUUAAUGGAACUCGUGGGAAUGCGGGGAUCCUGGAACCGAAGCCCUCCUUCCCUUCCAAACCUCCUCUCCAAACCCCUACUGAGUCAAAGGAAAAAAAUCCCCACAUCCCUGGAAACAUUUUUGCCAGCCUGUUUUUCAGUAAAAACUUAAAUUAACCACUUCACUCC
Gallus gallus (chicken) is the source of this 3835-nucleotide long non-coding RNA. NCBI's taxonomy places the organism in Eukaryota, Metazoa, Chordata, Aves, Galliformes, Phasianidae. The record is from Ensembl.